UCCCCGAUGGUCUAGUGGUCAUGAUUUCCGCUUGUCAAUAGACAAGUCGCGGGAGACCGGGGUUCGAUUCCCCGUCGAGGAG
RNAcentral lists this transfer RNA (82 nucleotides) under Imshaugia aleurites. It matches the Rfam family "tRNA". From Rfam's summary of the family: Transfer RNA (tRNA) molecules are approximately 80 nucleotides in length. The record is from Rfam by way of RNAcentral. Lineage: Eukaryota; Fungi; Ascomycota; Lecanoromycetes; Lecanorales; Parmeliaceae.